Molecule: RNA transcript, 513 nt
Organism: Gavialis gangeticus (Gharial)
Lineage: Eukaryota; Metazoa; Chordata; Crocodylia; Gavialidae
Gene: NDUFS6
Gene name: NADH:ubiquinone oxidoreductase subunit S6
Exons: 5
Source: RefSeq, a predicted model, not a curated record
UAACAGUGCGGCCGUUGUGGGUCACGUGGCCGUGCCAAGAUGGCGGCGCCCAGCUCGACCUUCCGCCUGCUGGCGCGGUUGGGCUGCUGGGUCCCGGGCCGGGCGUGGUGCCGCGGUUAUGGCGCGCAGGUGUCCGCCACUGGCGAGCUGGUGACGCACACGGGGCAGGUAUAUGAUGAACAGGACUACAGAAAAGCUCGUUUCGUGACACGGCAGAAGGAGGUGAAUACAAGCUUUGCUAUCGAUUUGAUAGCAGAACAACCUGUGAGUGAAGUUGAAAGCAGAGUGGUAUCGUGCGAUGGUGGUGGAGGAGCUUUGGGACAUCCUAAAGUGUAUAUAAAUUUGGGAAGCCCUGUGGGCUGGAUGCCGUGACACCGCAGGCUGGGAUUUGAGCACUGCUGUAUUAGAUGUCGUUGCUGGCUAAAAUCCCAGCAGAAAUAACAAUAAAAACAUUGGAAACUGAGCAUGUUUUACAGGUUGAGUAUGAACUUCAUAUUGCCAUUUUUGUUAUUU